This 492-nucleotide ribosomal RNA is filed under the name uncultured bacterium. RNAcentral's name for it is "partial 16S ribosomal RNA". It matches the Rfam family "Bacterial small subunit ribosomal RNA", at positions 29 to 507 of the family's 1533-position model. The record is from RNAcentral.
AGUGAACGCUGGCGGUAGGCCUAACACAUGCAAGUCGAACGGCAGCACAGUAAGAGCUUGCUCUUACGGGUGGCGAGUGGCGGACGGGUGAGGAAUACAUCGGAAUCUACUUUUUCGUGGGGGAUAACGUAGGGAAACUUACGCUAAUACCGCAUCCGACCUACGGGUGGAAGCAGGGGAUCUUCGGACCUUGCGCGAUUGAAUUAGCCGAUGUCGGAUUAGCUAGUUGGCGGGGUAAAGGCCCACCAAGGCGACGAUCCGUAGCUGGUCUGAGAGGAGGAUCAGCCACACUGGAACUGAGACACGGUCCAGACUCCUACGGGAGGCAGCAGUGGGGAAUAUUGGACAAUGGGCGCAAGCCUGAUCCAGCCAUACCGCGUGGGUGAAGAAGGCGUUCGGGUUGUAAAGCCCUUUUGUUGGGAAAGAAAAGCAGCAGGUUAAUACCCCGCUGUUCUGACGGUACCCAAAGAAUAAGCACCGGCUAACUUCGUG